CAUAAGGUGACUGAAAAUAAGUACUGGUCUCUUAAACCAUUUUAUAGUAGUUUAAUACCUACUCCUCAUGA
Molecule: transfer RNA, 71 nt
Filed under: Propsilocerus taihuensis
Lineage: Eukaryota; Metazoa; Arthropoda; Insecta; Diptera; Chironomidae
Description: tRNA-Lys
Source: RNAcentral